UUAAAUUGAAGAGUUUGAUCAUGGCUCAGAUUGAACGCUGGCGGCAGGCCUAACACAUGCAAGUCGAACGGUAACAGGAAGAAGCUUGCUUCUUUGCUGACGAG
This 104-nucleotide ribosomal RNA is filed under the name Escherichia coli. RNAcentral describes it as "partial 16S ribosomal RNA". It matches the Rfam family "Bacterial small subunit ribosomal RNA", at positions 1 to 97 of the family's 1533-position model. The record is from RNAcentral. RNAcentral also lists the same sequence under 1 other name. Lineage: Bacteria; Pseudomonadati; Pseudomonadota; Gammaproteobacteria; Enterobacterales; Enterobacteriaceae.